This 332-nucleotide unclassified non-coding RNA is filed under the name soil metagenome. Its description in RNAcentral is "partial contains 5.8S ribosomal RNA, internal transcribed spacer 2, and large subunit ribosomal RNA". The stretch from base 1 to 120 matches the Rfam family "5.8S ribosomal RNA", at positions 35 to 154 of the family's 154-position model. The record is from RNAcentral.
GAUGAAGAACGUAGCGAAAUGCGAUAAGUAGUGUGAAUUGCAGAAUUCAGUGAAUCAUCGAAUCUUUGAACGCACAUUGCGCCCUUUGGUAUUCCUUAGGGCAUGCCUGUUCGAGCGUCAUUUAAACCUUCAAGCUAAGCUUGGUGUUGGGUGACUGUCCGCUUCACGGCGGACUCGCCUCAAAAUUAUUGGCGGCCGGUACAUUGGCUUCGAGCGCAGCAGAAACGCGAACUCGGGCCCGUCGUAUUGGCUCCCAGAAGCUAUCUUCACAAUUUUGACCUCGGAUCAGGUAGGGAUACUCGCUGAACUUAAGCAUAUCAAUAAGCGGAGGA